UUCUGCCUUCUUUUCAGAUUC
This 21-nucleotide non-coding RNA is filed under the name Caenorhabditis elegans. Lineage: Eukaryota; Metazoa; Nematoda; Chromadorea; Rhabditida; Rhabditidae. The record is from RNAcentral.